GGUGAACGCUGGCGGUAGGCCUAACACAUGCAAGUCGAACGGCAGCACAGUAAGAGCUUGCUCUUACGGGUGGCGAGUGGCGGACGGGUGAGGAAUACAUCGGAAUCUACUUUUUCGUGGGGGAUAACGUAGGGAAACUUACGCUAAUACCGCAUACGACCUACAGGUGAAAGCAGGGGAUCUUCGGACCUUGCGCGAUUGAAUGAGCCGAUGUCGGAUUAGCUAGUUGGCGGGGUAAAGGCCCACCAAGGCGACGAUCCGUAGCUGGUCUGAGAGGAUGAUCAGCCACACUGGAACUGAGACACGGUCCAGACUCCUACGGGAGGCAGCAGUGGGGAAUAUUGGACAAUGGGCGCAAGCCUGAUCCAGCCAUACCGCGUGGGUGAAGAAGGCCUUCGGGUUGUAAAGCCCUUUUGUUGGGAAAGAAAAGCAGCAGGUUAAUACCCCGCUGUUCUGACGGUACCUAAAGAAUAAGCACCGGCUAACUUCGUG
Molecule: ribosomal RNA, 492 nt
Filed under: uncultured bacterium
Lineage: Bacteria
Description: partial 16S ribosomal RNA
Rfam family: Bacterial small subunit ribosomal RNA
Source: RNAcentral